Molecule: long non-coding RNA, 1802 nt
Filed under: Homo sapiens (human)
Lineage: Eukaryota; Metazoa; Chordata; Mammalia; Primates; Hominidae
Description: HSALNT0263469
Source: RNAcentral
UUCUCCUGGGGGGCGGGGAGGGGGGGUCUCCAAAAACCGCGGCGGCGGCGGCGGCCGCUCCAGGCGCCCGUUCCGGAGUCGGGGGGAGGCCCAGCCGGGAGGGGGGAAGGGGGGGAGCCUUAGUCAUUUCCCCGCUCCAGCCUGCUCCCGCCCGAGCGCGCACUCACGGCCGCUCUCCCUCCUCGCUCCGCAGCCGCGGCCCAUGGAGCCCGCCGGCCCGGCCCCCGGCCGCCUCGGGCCGCUGCUCUGCCUGCUGCUCGCCGCGUCCUGCGCCUGGUCAGGUAAGCACCCCCCCGCUCCCCACCGCUGCACUCCCCAAACUGCGGGCUCAGGCCUCUCAGACUGGCACUGGGACCCCUUCGGCUAAUGCCGAGCAGUAAUAGGGGGAGAGACGCCUGUAACCAGGUAUGCCCGUUAGCAUGUGGCCUCUCUCCGUUUGGUAAACGGUUUUCUACAGAUCCAUGCCCUCAGCUGAACCUGCAUACCAGGUAGCUGCCACUCCUCUGUCUACCUGGUUCUCUCCUUCUCCCCUAUUCUAGCUCGCUCUCUCACUCUGCGUCUGUCUCUCAGGCAUGUGUUUCUCUGAGGUCUUUAUGAUCAUGAUCUUUCUUUUUUUUGUUUCUUGUACCUCACCUUGUUCAGAAUCGAGGCCCUGGCUCUGCCUUGCUCUGAACUGUUCUCACUUGGUCCCUAUCCAUCUUCAACGCAUCUCAUGACAAGCUCGUCCUGCCCUCUUCCUGUCUGGGCUCCCCCCGUGCACCCCAAUCUCUCCACCCAGGGUCCCUGUCUUGUGUGCCCCAGUGUCUCUGAUUGGGGCUCAGGCUCCUGCAGCCAACCUCUACAAUUCCUUCCAGCUGCCCAUUUGGGAGCCCUUGAGGCCUGGACUGGGUCCAGCUCCAGUGUGUCCCCAUCACAGUGAGGCCUGGAUCACAGGGCAUCAGCAGGUGUUGGUGAGAGUGAAGUUUGAGCCACAGCCACCUCCUUGUUUAUUCAAUGUAUAGUAACAACAACUUCCUCAGGGCCCAUCUCAGGGCUAAGUGACUUCUAUGUGUGAUCUCGUUUUCUUUUCAGAACAAAGCAGAGGCCUGGGGGCUGUUCUACCCAUCCUGUAGAUAAGAAAACUGAGACUCAAAACUGAUGGAUAAAUUAAGGUCCCACAAGAACAAGGGGCGAGCCAGGUUUCAAACCAGGUCCGAUGACUCUAAAGACCAGAUGCGAGCCUCUGUGCCUGGCCCCUUCUUCUUUUUUUUUUUUUUUUAAAGAACAUGUAUUUUUUUCUUUUACUUUGGAUGCAGAAGUUCAUUAUGUACCUUUUGGAAUUAUAAAACAAAAAAAUAUAUAUAAAAAAAUCACCCAGAACCCCACCAUUCAGAAGUGACACUGUUAAUAUUUUAAUGACCAAUCCAUCAGACUUUUUUAUACAUACAUAUACUUUCUUUUUACAAAAUUUCGAGAAAAGAUGCAAUAGUGUUGUAUUCAGGCUCAGAAAAUAAUACCCCAGAAUCUGGCGCUUUGACGUGCUGAACUGAAGAAGCGGUUUCAAGGUCUCUUUCUGACCUUGCCCUGCCUCCCUGUCUCUCUGAUCCUCUUACUUUCCCAAAGCACCAGGAGGGGCUGUCGCUGGAAUUUUCUUAUCUGCCUAAGAAAGCUUCUUUCCAAGAGAAAUGCAAUUUCUUAAAACUCCCCGUCCCUAGGAAUCUCAUCAAAUAACCAGGAAAGAUUAACCACUGGAAAAGAGACUAGAUGUAGUCACCGUGCUCAGACAGACUUUCAUUUGUUUUUCUGAGAGCAGCUCCUAGAGA